UACGUAGGGUGCGAGCGUUACUCGGAAUUACUGGGCGUAAAGCGUGCGCAGGCGGUUUUGUAAGUCUGUCGUGAAAUCCCCGGGCUCAACCUGGGAAUUGCGAUGGAGACUGCAAGGCUAGAGUUUGGCAGAGGGGGGUAGAAUUCCACGUGUAGCAGUGAAAUGCGUAGAGAUGUGGAGGAACACCGAUGGCGAAGGCAGCCCCCUGGGUCAAAACUGACGCUCAUGCACGAAAGCGUGGGGAGCAAACAGG
This 253-nucleotide ribosomal RNA is filed under the name uncultured bacterium. Its description in RNAcentral is "partial 16S ribosomal RNA". It matches the Rfam family "Bacterial small subunit ribosomal RNA", at positions 524 to 776 of the family's 1533-position model. The record is from RNAcentral.